This 483-nucleotide ribosomal RNA is filed under the name uncultured bacterium. RNAcentral's name for it is "partial 16S ribosomal RNA". It matches the Rfam family "Bacterial small subunit ribosomal RNA", at positions 30 to 506 of the family's 1533-position model. The record is from RNAcentral.
AUUGAACGCUGGCGGCAGGCCUAACACAUGCAAGUCGAGCGGAUGAAGGGAGCUUGCUCCUGGAUUCAGCGGCGGACGGGUGAGUAAUGCCUAGGAAUCUGCCUGGUAGUGGGGGAUAACGUCCGGAAACGGGCGCUAAUACCGCAUACGUCCUGAGGGAGAAAGUGGGGGAUCUUCGGACCUCACGCUAUCAGAUGAGCCUAGGUCGGAUGAGCUAGUUGGUGGGGUAAAGGCCUACCAAGGCGACGAUCCGUAACUGGUCUGAGAGGAUGAUCAGUCACACUGGAUCUGAGACACGGUACAGACUCCUACGGGAGGCAGCAGUGGGGAAUAUUGGAAAGUGGGCGAAAGCCUGAUCCAGCCAUGCCGCGUGUGUGAAGAAGGUCUUCGGAUUGUAAAGCACUUUAAGUUGGGAAGCAGGUCAGUAAGUUAAUACCUUGCUGUUUGGACGUUACCAACAGAAUAAGCACCGGCUAACUUCGU